AUGACAUAAUCGCCGUUUUUGCCACGUGAGAGGCUUUUUAAGCAGCAACAAUUUUUCCAGAGCUUGGGCAGGCACACUCACCAGAAAGGGCGUUACGAUGCGAUCACCUCCGUCGGCAUCCCCCUCGCGCUCGCGGCAUCGAGCCUAUUCAUGAUUGGUCAUGGUGUCUACAACAUGUCUCAUGGAAUCGAGAAGAAGCAGUGA
Molecule: ribosomal RNA, 204 nt
Filed under: Triticum aestivum (bread wheat)
Lineage: Eukaryota; Viridiplantae; Streptophyta; Magnoliopsida; Poales; Poaceae
Description: partial small subunit ribosomal RNA
Source: RNAcentral